UCCUGUUGUUCCUAAACCGAUAGCUACAGACAAAAGGUUGAACAUCUCCACAGCAUGUGGACUAUCACACACUCCCUCUUUCCCCUCCAGCCACUUUUCGCCUUUAAAUACUGAAGCCCUCAAAGUCAUCUUUGAAGAAAGGCACAGACCACAGACUUCCUGUGAUUCCACGUUUAUUUGUUCCAGAAAAAUGGAGGUCUUUGAUUGCAUUGCUACUGGUGUGGAGAUAAAAACCACUGUUCACAUCCAACCAUUUUUUUUUUUGUAAACUGGACAUAAUUGGAGACACUGGUGAUUUCAUCAAGACUUUGAUUGUAAUGACAUUUUCAGAUGGCCUUGAGAAAAUGAGGCUGACCUAUAAAGCCAAUAAAAGCGCCUUGGAAAACCUGGGAUCAUACAUUUUUAUUUGCAGCGUACUGACUUGGGAUAAGUAAAGAAUGUCACUUUCUGACAGGCCCAGGAAACUCAGGUUUUCUUGGGACCUUGAAAAAAGAGUAAUUCACCCAAUUCACACAGGUA
RNAcentral lists this long non-coding RNA (519 nucleotides) under Homo sapiens (human). Its description in RNAcentral is "HSALNT0343665". Lineage: Eukaryota; Metazoa; Chordata; Mammalia; Primates; Hominidae. The record is from RNAcentral.